GAUGAAGAACGUAGCGAAAUGCGAUAAGUAAUGUGAAUUGCAGAAUUCAGUGAAUCAUCGAGUCUUUGAACGCACAUUGCGCCCCCUGGUAUUCCGGGGGGCAUGCCUGUCCGAGCGUCAUUGCUGCCCUCAAGCACGACUUGUGUGUUGGGCCCCCGUCCCCGGUUUCCCCCGGGGACGGGCCCGAAAGGCAGCGGCGGCACCGCGUCCGGUCCUCGAGCGUAUGGGGCUUUGUCACCCGCUCUGUAGGCCCGGCCGGCGCCAGCCGACACCCAACUUUAUUUCUAAGGUUGACCUCGGAUCAGGUAGGGAUACCCGCUGAACUUAAGCAUAUCAAUAAGCGGAGGA
RNAcentral lists this unclassified non-coding RNA (348 nucleotides) under soil metagenome. Its description in RNAcentral is "partial contains 5.8S ribosomal RNA, internal transcribed spacer 2, and large subunit ribosomal RNA". The stretch from base 1 to 120 matches the Rfam family "5.8S ribosomal RNA", at positions 35 to 154 of the family's 154-position model. The record is from RNAcentral.